RNAcentral lists this unclassified non-coding RNA (1976 nucleotides) under Monomorium pharaonis (pharaoh ant). Its description in RNAcentral is "probable ATP-dependent RNA helicase DDX56, transcript variant X2". Lineage: Eukaryota; Metazoa; Arthropoda; Insecta; Hymenoptera; Formicidae. The record is from RNAcentral.
AUUUAUAUAUAGUCAAAUUUUUUAAUUGUAUAAUAGAAAGUUACAAUAUUAAGCAUUAUGUAUUCUAUAAUCAUAAAUAACAAUUUAUAUUUCAUAUUAAGAUUGACAAAUUUUAUUGAAAUGUUUACAAAAUUUAAAAACAUUGUUUAAUCUUGUAAAAUAAGGUAUUAUAACACAUAUUACAUAGAAUUCUGACUAUAUAAUACCUUGUAAAAUAAGGUAUUAUAACACAUAUCACGUAGAAUAAGGUAUUAUAACACAUAUCAUGUAGAGUAGAAGAAUUUAUCACAUAGUCUAUAUUUUCUCUAUAAUAAAAGUUCAUUGAUUAACAUCAAAAGUUCAAAAUAAUACAAAAUAAUGCUACAGAGAUUAUACCGACUUACAAAUUGCAACAGAAUUCUUCAAAGAGCUGUUCUACGUAAAAAAAUUUACUCAACAUGUAAGAGUGAAAGUAAUAUACAAAUUGCCAGAAGGGUAACAAUAAUGUCGCCAUUUACUAUAAUGGGAAUAUGGGGAAUUGUAGAAAACAAAAAUCAAAAUGAAGAUAAAACCCAAAUUGCAAUGAAGGAACUUCUUGCUAAAGCAGAUAGGUGUUAUAACACCUUAUUUUACAACGCUAUCACAAAACUGGGUUGGAUGGAACCUACAUUAAUACAAGAAAAAGCGAUACCUUUAUUGCUGGAAGGAAAGGAUCUUUUAAUCAAAGCUCGUACAGGUUCAGGCAAAACUGCUGCCUUUACAAUACCGCUUAUUCAGAAAAUAUUAUUAAAUAAACGGAUACAAAAAAAGCAAGAGAUUAAAAGUUUGAUUAUUGCAUCUAGUAAGGAGCUGUGCAAGCAAAUUCAUGAUGUCAUCUUGAGCUUGACGAUAAAAUGUUGUAGAGAAGUCAGAGCAAUUGAUCUUAGUUUAAAAACUGACUUAAAUGCACAGAAACUUUUACUUAGCGAAAUGCCAGAUAUUGUUGUAGUUACUCCAAAUCGAUUAUUACAGCAUUUAAAAGCGAAAAAUUUAGUCUUGAAACGUAGCCUUGAUACGUUAAUAAUUGAUGAAGCUGAUUUGUUAUUUUCAUUUGGUUACGAAAAAGACUUGAAAGCUAUAUUGACUUAUCUACCAAUGGCCUAUCAAGCAAUUUUGGCAUCUGCCACAUUAUCUGAAGAUGUUCAAACUUUGAAGAAAUUAAUUCUACACAAUCCUGCAAUUUUAAAGUUGGAGGAACCACCAUUAGCGCCUCCCACACAAUUAACUCAUUACACUUUAGCUGCAGAGGAAAAUGAUAAAGCUGCUAUUUUGUACGCCUUAUUGAAGUUACAUUUAAUUAGGGGAAAGUCUAUAAUUUUUGUACAUACUGUAGACAGAUGCUACAAGUUGAAAUUGUUCUUAGAGCAGUUUGGUAUUCCAACUUGUGUUUUAAAUUCUGAACUACCAGUAACCUCGAGAUGUAGAGCGAUCUGCCAGUUCAACAGUGGAAUUUAUGACAUUAUAAUAGCAUCGGAUGAAAAAGUGUUAGAAGAGCCGCAUGUGGUAAAAAUGAAAAAAAGCAAACGCAAGCAAGACAAAGAAUCGGGUGUAGCGCGUGGCAUCGAUUUCCAAUUCGUAUCCAACGUAAUCAACUUUGAUUUUCCAUUAAAUUUAAACUCUUACGUACACAGAGUGGGGCGCACUGCUCGCGGAAAGAACCAGGGAACAGCUCUUAGUUUUGUAGCUAUCAGGGAAAGACCAUUGAUGGAAGAAGUGGAACAAAAAUUGACACAUACUUAUAAUUGUGAAAAUCUGUUUAAAACUUACCAAUUUAAAUUGGAGGAAGUGGAAGGAUUUCGCUAGAAAUGGGAGAGGAGAGCGGAUUUUGAUCGUGCCCCAAAUAUUUACACUAAGAUAUCGUGCAAAAGAUGCUUGGAAGGCCGUUACAAGAAUUGCUGUUCGAGAAGCGCGAUUAAAAGAAAUUAAACAGGAAGUUAUAAAUUGCGAAAAGCUGAAAA